ACGGGAGGCAGCAGUGGGGAAUAUUGGACAAUGGGCGAAAGCCUGAUCCAGCGACGCCGCGUGAGUGAAGAAGUAUUUCGGUAUGUAAAGCUCUAUCAGCAGGGAAGAUAAUGACGGUACCUGACUAAGAAGCACCGGCUAAAUACGUGCCAGCAGCCGCGGUAAUACGUAUGGUGCAAGCGUUAUCCGGAUUUACUGGGUGUAAAGGGAGCGCAGGCGGGACUGCAAGUUGGAUGUGAAAUGUCGAGGCUUAACCUCGGAACUGCAUCCAAAACUGUAGUUCUUGAGUGGAGUAGAGGCAAGCGGAAUUCCGAGUGUAGCGGUGAAUGCGUAGAUAUUCGGAGGAACACCAGUGGCGAAGGCGGCUUGCUGGGCUCUAACUGACGCUGAGGCUCGAAAGUGUGGGGAGCAAACAGGAUUAGAUACCCUGGUA
Molecule: ribosomal RNA, 433 nt
Filed under: uncultured Lachnospiraceae bacterium
Lineage: Bacteria; Bacillati; Bacillota; Clostridia; Lachnospirales; Lachnospiraceae
Description: partial 16S ribosomal RNA
Rfam family: Bacterial small subunit ribosomal RNA
Source: RNAcentral